Molecule: ribosomal RNA, 656 nt
Filed under: Pseudomonas sp. LT17
Lineage: Bacteria; Pseudomonadati; Pseudomonadota; Gammaproteobacteria; Pseudomonadales; Pseudomonadaceae
Description: bacterial SSU rRNA
Rfam family: Bacterial small subunit ribosomal RNA
Source: RNAcentral
UGCAGUCGAGCGGUAGAGAGGUGCUUGCACCUCUUGAGAGCGGCGGACGGGUGAGUAAUGCCUAGGAAUCUGCCUGGUAGUGGGGGAUAACGCUCGGAAACGGACGCUAAUACCGCAUACGUCCUACGGGAGAAAGCAGGGGACCUUCGGGCCUUGCGCUAUCAGAUGAGCCUAGGUCGGAUUAGCUAGUUGGUGAGGUAAUGGCUCACCAAGGCGACGAUCCGUAACUGGUCUGAGAGGAUGAUCAGUCACACUGGAACUGAGACACGGUCCAGACUCCUACGGGAGGCAGCAGUGGGGAAUAUUGGACAAUGGGCGAAAGCCUGAUCCAGCCAUGCCGCGUGUGUGAAGAAGGUCUUCGGAUUGUAAAGCACUUUAAGUUGGGAGGAAGGGCCAUUACCUAAUACGUGAUGGUUUUGACGUUACCGACAGAAUAAGCACCGGCUAACUCUGUGCCAGCAGCCGCGGUAAUACAGAGGGUGCAAGCGUUAAUCGGAAUUACUGGGCGUAAAGCGCGCGUAGGUGGUUCGUUAAGUUGGAUGUGAAAUCCCCGGGCUCAACCUGGGAACUGCAUUCAAAACUGUCGAGCUAGAGUAUGGUAGAGGGUGGUGGAAUUUCCUGUGUAGCGGUGAAAUGCGUAGAUAUAGGAAGGAACA